GACGAACGCUGGCGGCGUGCUUAACACAUGCAAGUCGAACGGAAAGGCCCCAGCUUGCUGGGGUACUCGAGUGGCGAACGGGUGAGUAACACGUGGGUGAUCUGCCCUGCACUCUGGGAUAAGCCUGGGAAACUGGGUCUAAUACCGGAUAGGACCGUGCUUUAGUGUGUGCGGUGGAAAGUUUUUCGGUGCAGGAUGAGCCCGCGGCCUAUCAGCUUGUUGGUGGGGUAAUGGCCUACCAAGGCGGCGACGGGUAGCCGGCCUGAGAGGGUGUACGGCCACAUUGGGACUGAGACACGGCCCAGACUCCUACGGGAGGCAGCAGUGGGGAAUAUUGCACAAUGGGCGCAAGCCUGAUGCAGCGACGCCGCGUGGGGGAUGACGGCCUUCGGGUUGUAAACCACUGUCGGCAGGGACGAAGCUUUUGUGACGGUACCUGAAGAAGAAGCACCGGCUAACUACGUG
Molecule: ribosomal RNA, 465 nt
Filed under: uncultured bacterium
Lineage: Bacteria
Description: partial 16S ribosomal RNA
Rfam family: Bacterial small subunit ribosomal RNA
Source: RNAcentral